RNAcentral lists this unclassified non-coding RNA (335 nucleotides) under soil metagenome. RNAcentral describes it as "partial contains 5.8S ribosomal RNA, internal transcribed spacer 2, and large subunit ribosomal RNA". The stretch from base 1 to 120 matches the Rfam family "5.8S ribosomal RNA", at positions 35 to 154 of the family's 154-position model. The record is from RNAcentral.
GAUGAAGAACGUAGCGAAAUGCGAUAAGUAAUGUGAAUUGCAGAAUUCAGUGAAUCAUCGAAUCUUUGAACGCACAUUGCGCCCGCCAGUAUUCUGGCGGGCAUGCCUGUUCGAGCGUCAUUUCAACCAUCAAGCCCCCGGCUUGUGUUGGGGACCUGCGGCUGCCGCAGGCCCUGAAAACCAGUGGCGGGCUCGCUGUCACACCGAGCGUAGUAGAUUUUCAUCUCGCUCAGGGCGUGCUGCGGGUUCCGGCCGUAAAAAGCCUUAUUUACCCAAGGUUGACCUCGGAUCAGGUAGGAAGACCCGCUGAACUUAAGCAUAUCAAUAAGGGAGGA